RNAcentral lists this long non-coding RNA (1449 nucleotides) under Zea mays. RNAcentral describes it as "long non-coding RNA (ZMAY_LNC005346)". The record is from RNAcentral. Lineage: Eukaryota; Viridiplantae; Streptophyta; Magnoliopsida; Poales; Poaceae.
UCACAUUGACGGGAUCAUGGGAAAGCAUGCAAAGUGCAGAUCAGCAGAUGCAACUGCAGACCGCGAGACAGUAGAACGCGUGACUGCUGGUUCUCUGAUUAACACAACUCUGCUACUCCAUCCCAUAGUCCACGCUCGAGGUCACUCCAACUGAUAUAUGAAUAUAUGAUGUACAACUUCUCCACCGCCAUGAAGAAGGGAUCGUCUGCUGAUCAGAUCAUCGACGGUAGAUGCUAAUGCUGCGCAGGCACGUAUAGGCUUGCCUGGAACUGGAACGGACGGGGAACAAUUGGGACGGUUUCAUUGGCCAGUCAGGGCUGAGACCACCUCGGUCUUCUUCCUGUACAUCACGUUCCACAAGUCCAGCGGUCGGGUACAACGGCUACUGCUCUGCCGCCGCGGCGAGCGGGGCAGACGUGUACGGUGUAGCAGCGAUGUGCGGUGCCGCGUGUCCCGCCGCCUGUAGGAACCGCUCGACGCCGAGGUGCGGCAGGAGGAGGCUGAGGCCGAGUCCGUCCUGCUGCGGCGGCUGCAGGUUGGCCUCGUCGGCGCCGGUGACGCGCUGCACCAUGGCGCGGAAGGUGGCGGCGUCGGUGCUGAUGUACAUGGUGGGCGCGCGCUUGGACGGCCGCGGCCGGCGCCGCUUCCCCGCGUGCCCGCCCGCCGGGCCCAGCCGGCACCGCGUGGACGAGGACAGCGACGCUACGCCCGUCGAGGUACAGUCCAUCACUGCCACGACGCCUUGCAUCAGCAUCGCCGCUGUCGCCGUGGUGACGAGGCCAGAGGUAAGGUGGGCCGAUGGAGCGGAGCUAGCCGGCACGGGCGACGACUAGGAUGUGUGGGGCUGGCUGCGAGUUUGGGAGGAGCCGAGGAGGCAUGGGCGCGGUGGGACUGGAGGUCGGACGUGGACCAUUGGAAGCUGAAUUUGAGUAAGUUUUCGGGUCCGUGUCGACACAACACACAGGCCGGCGUGGCAGCAUCUGCUGUGAGGAAAUGGCAUGGGGUUUCAAUCGGAUGGCUGACCUUUUCUGGACGACGUGGCUGCCGUGAGGCACUGAGAAUCCUUGUAGCUAUUAAGACACUGAGAAUCCUCACAUUGACGGGAUCAUGGGAAAGCAUGCAAAGUGCAGAUCAGCAGAUGCAACUGCAGACCGCAAGACAGUAGAACGCGUGACUGCUGGUUCUCUGAUUAACACAACUCUGCUACUCCAUCCCAUAGUCCACGCUCGAGGUCACUCCAACUGAUAUAUGAAUAUAUGAUGUACAACUUCUCCACCGCCAUGAAGAAGGGAUCGUCUGCUGAUCAGAUCAUCGACGGUAGAUGCUAAUGCUGCGCAGGCACGUAUAGGCUUGCCUGGAACUGGAACGGACGGGGAACAAUUGGGACGGUUUCAUUGGCCAGUCAGGGCUGAGACCACCUCGGUCUUCUUCCCGUACAUCACGUUCCAC